Molecule: ribosomal RNA, 115 nt
Filed under: Cephalotus follicularis
Lineage: Eukaryota; Viridiplantae; Streptophyta; Magnoliopsida; Oxalidales; Cephalotaceae
Source: RNAcentral
GGGUGCGAUCAUACCAACACUAAUGCACCGGAUCCCAUCAGAACUUCACAUUUAAGCGUGCUUGGGGGAGAUUUUUUCCCCGCGGUCGACUACUUGAUUGACGUUUUUGCACUUC